CAAACAUUUGGUCUACACUUUGCAAAUUAUUUUCGAGUCAUCUUUAUAACAAUUUAAGUCCAUGGAGUCUAAUUGCAUUAACUAUUGCAUUGACGUACACCAAAGCGACAUUCUCUGAUAGUUCUGCGGAGUUCCGAUGCAGUGGAGAUGGUGGUUAAGCCGGUCAGACAAAGCUGAGAGUUAGGUAAAGAAGGAAUAGAAACCAGUUAAAGGCAGUUUCAGCCUUUUCAAGUUCCUCACCGCAAGGGAAAAGGAGUCUGCAGAUGGAAAGGCAACAGAGGCCAACACAGAUGGUGCUGCCAAGCUUCCAGCUGUGUCCGAUUAGACACAACAUCAACUUACGGAUAAAAAGCAAGCUAAGAUGGGCUCGUGGUGGAAAAAAUGCCAGAAGAAGUGACACGGCCCGACACAUGUCGAGGCAGAUAAGGCGGACAAAUUGGACCCAUCAGGGAGCCCUGACCAGAGCACAUUGAGGUGGACUCUAUUGACACAAUCCACCAGCAACCGCACUCCAAACAAAAUCCAGAAACUGUGUUUUCGAUGCAAUCGCCAUUGAGAACAGUUGGAAUUAUUGGAAUCCAUUAGUGUGUUCAACAAAUCAAAUCUUAAUUUGAAUGGGGAACCAAAGAUCGUUAACAAUUCCAUCGACGGCGGUGAGCUCUGUAUCUGUAUUUAUGUGCAUGCUGCUCAUCUAUAAACUUAUUGCCUAACGUAGACCAAUAGAUCUCAUUUCCUCGUUGUAAACCUAUUGAAAAACUCCCGUCCUCUCAUUC
Long non-coding RNA from Drosophila guanche, 773 nucleotides. RefSeq lists it as uncharacterized. The record is from RefSeq and is a predicted model, not a curated record. Lineage: Eukaryota; Metazoa; Arthropoda; Insecta; Diptera; Drosophilidae. The transcript is spliced from 3 exons.